AUCCUCUGGCUAAAUUU
RNAcentral lists this small RNA (17 nucleotides) under Arabidopsis thaliana (thale cress). Its description in RNAcentral is "ATSL116160". Lineage: Eukaryota; Viridiplantae; Streptophyta; Magnoliopsida; Brassicales; Brassicaceae. The record is from RNAcentral.